CGAACGGGUGAGUAACACGUGGGUGAUCUGCCCUGCACUUCGGGAUAAGCCUGGGAAACUGGGUCUAAUACCGGAUAUGACUACGGAUCGCAUGGGUCUGUGGUGGAAAGCUUUUGCGGUGUGGGAUGGGCCCGCGGCCUAUCAGCUUGUUGGUGGGUUAAGGCCUACCAAGGCGACGACGGGUAGCCGGCCUGAGAGGGUGACCGGCCACACUGGGACUGAGAUACGGCCCAG
This 234-nucleotide ribosomal RNA is filed under the name uncultured bacterium. Its description in RNAcentral is "partial 16S ribosomal RNA". It matches the Rfam family "Bacterial small subunit ribosomal RNA", at positions 99 to 334 of the family's 1533-position model. The record is from RNAcentral.